Long non-coding RNA from Anguilla rostrata (American eel), 3239 nucleotides. RefSeq lists it as uncharacterized. The transcript is spliced from 5 exons. NCBI's taxonomy places the organism in Eukaryota, Metazoa, Chordata, Actinopteri, Anguilliformes, Anguillidae. The record is from RefSeq and is a predicted model, not a curated record.
UCAUCAACGUUACUGACGUAAAACGUCUGAUCAGUUCUCACGGCCUACACGAAUUUUUUUAACAAAAUGUCUGUGCAAGGGGUCAAGCAAUUUGAGUUUUUAAAGUUAUAACGCCUUUGAUGGAGACGAAACGUCAGCACUGUGUACCGCAAGCGUAUUCUUGAGGAGAAACUUUGUACGACGCCAAAUUCUGAGAUUCACCUUGUCUGAAUGUAUCCUGAGAAGACCGAUAGGUGCCUUUGUGGAUGCAGAGAGGGCAGACAGCUCGGGGAGCAGAAGAUUUACUCCUGCGGCCGGUGGAAGAAUGCGAAUGCAGUGGGAAACUAUGAGAGCAUUUCCUCAAAGCCGCGGCUGCUGAUAAAUCUGCUCCCACGUGACACUUCGGUAUUUCUCACAGGUCCUGGAGCCCCGGUGUAACCCUUUGCGCGUAUGGUUCAACGUUGAUCAGCUGAAGAUAAAUCACCAACUACCUCCAGAGGGCCAGAAACCAUGGGAUGGGAAGUCAGUUUUCUCUGUUCGAAUCAGAAGAAUCCAAGACAGACAAACUCUGCUGUCUCUCACUCUGGCAUAAGAGAAAUGUAGAUGAUAUGGGAAGAACUCUUGAGUACCUACAGAGAAAAGGAACAGUCAGAAAUAGCAGUGCUAUUAAUUUUUAUGUGAAAGCCUUCACCCCAGACUAUGCUGCAGCCUUGAGCGCCUCUUUGAAUUUUGAGACGACUCGCAGCUACAGGACAACUGCUGGAAUGGGAGCAACCGUUUCAUAUUUUCUGGAACAUUGGCACUGGAGCCUCUCAAGGAACGAUUCGGUGAGAAUGGAACAUGAUUGGCAAAACCCUGAAGCCAAAAAACCAGGGAGCCAAUCUGUUUUGUUGCUUUCACACCUGUUUGUGUUGUAACAGGAGCCAUGUAUGUGUUUAGGGUGUGGAGUAACAAGGCUGACAUGUAUCAGAAAGGCAUGAGAAGGGUUGUGGGGGUGGGGGGUAGGAAAACAAGUGUGGACAGUGGAACAUGCAACUGAAACGGGAGUUUGGCGGUUUGGCAUAGGCAAACAGACACGGGUCUUGCUGACAGGAGGAAGCCACAUUCCCUGUAAAUAAGCUUUUGAUGGGAUGAAAGAGCCAUGUGAUCUCAUGAGGAUGACCCGUGAUCCCACCGCUGUUUUUCCAGAGGGGUCUGAUCCUCAGCUUUUUAUCUGCAUGGGUUCUGGCGAGGGGGUGGGGGGCAGGGGUGGCCAGAUGAGCUUGCCACCCCCCCCGCUCCUGCCCCCCCUCUCCUCCAAUGUUUUGGUUGCGAGGAAAGCCAGGACUCUCGCAGCGAGGCGCGACCUGUCAUCACAAUGACCUUUGACCCCCCCACCCACCAGUCGCCUGAGCCAAGGGCUCCUGUGGAGAGGGCCGCUGGAGUCCAGUCCUCCCCCAGACAGAAAGGUGGGGGCUCAGAGGCACACCGGAGGUCAAAGGGCAGGGAGUGGCAACGUGUGCACAUUUUCAGAAAGUCAACCCUUUUCUUUCCUCCACAUCACUUGUUUUACCAAACAGUCCUCUUUUUGGGUUUUCCAUUUCAAAACCGCACAAGGCUUGUCCUCUGGAAUUGAGUCAUUGUAGUCUACUAUGAUUUCCCACAAAAAAAGGUCUGUCUGAGAUUCAGUAUAAACACACACUGUGUGUCCAGGCAAUGCAGUAUUAGCCUGUGCUGAAGGGCAGGGCGAAGGCUUAAUGACUGCGCACCACUCGCCAGCUUCAGAAAGGUCAGACGCCUCCCUUCGUCUGCUGCCUGUGCCAUGCUGCUCCCUUAAUCCUGUUGUCUAUCUUAACUCUGUUUCUCCAUGUGUUUAGGUGUCUUCCUUAUUUCCUAUUUAUUUCCUACUUUCCUACUUAUUUCCUUGGUGUCUGUCAGUGGAUUCACUCUAUUUCGGUAUUGUUUGCUGCUGACAGGCAAGUACUUUCUUUCCUAAGAAUAAAUACAAUUAAAAAGGAGCUUGGACAAAAUCUAACUUUGUGCCGAGGAAUGGCAUCAUAGGAUGUAGUGCACUUGAAAUAUCUUCAGUGUCCUGACGUCAGUAUGAGAAAAGCUGCCACAGGUGGCACACUGUGAUGACCAUAAGGCAUAAUCAUUCUGUUCUUCUGUGUACACACUGUCAGCUAUAGGUCACUCUGUGAUAAUAUUCAUACUCACACAAGCCCUCGCACUCACUAACACAUAUACGCACACAAUCACUUACAGUAAUCUUUUCCUACUACCAACUAAGCUGGAAUUAGAAUAACUGUCAUUCUACUUUGUAUGAAACACUUCAUUUCCCAAAGUAUGUGUAUGCCUGAAUCUCACACCCAUGUGUAUUUGUUGAACAUCUCAUUCCAAAACCAUGGGCAUUAAUAUGGAGUUGGACCCCCCUUUGCUGCUGUAACAGCCUCCACUCUUCUGGGAAGGCUUUAUACUAGAUGUUGGAGCAUUGCUGCAGGGAUUUGUUUCCAUUCAGCCCGAAGAGCAUUAGUGAGGUCGGGCACUGAUUGGGCGAUUAGGCCUGGCUUGCAGUUGGAAUUUCAAUUCGUCCCAAAGGUGUUUGAUGGGUAUAGGUUAGGGCUAUGUGCAGGCCAGUCAAAUUCUUCUCCACCAAAUCAAAAUUUGUCCAUCAGACUGCCAGACAGUGAUUCAUCACUCCAGAGAAUGUUGUUUCCACUGCUCCAGAGUCCAGUGGUGGUGUGCUUUACACCACUCUAGUUGACACUUGGCAUUCCACAUGGUGAUCUUAGGCUUGUGUGUGGCUGCUCAGCCAUGGAAACCUGUUUCAUAAAGCUCUUGACAACCAGUUCCUGUGCUGAUGGUGUUUCCAGACCUAGUUUGGAAUUCUGUAGUGAGUGUUGCAACCGAGGACAGAUGAUUUUUACGUGCUACACGAUUCAGCACUUGGCGGUCCUGUUCUGUGAGCUUAUGUGGCCUACCGCUUUUCCGCAGAGCUGUCGUUGCUUCUACACGUUUCCACUUCGCAGUAACAGUCCUUACAGUUGACCGGGGCAGCUCUAGCAGGGCAGAAAUUUGCCAUGUUGAAAGUCAUUGACCUCCAGUACAACCCAUUCUAAUGUUUGUCAAUGGAGACUGCAUGGCUGUAUGCUUGAUUUUAUGCACCUGUUAGCAAUGUGGCUGAAAUAGCCAAAACAGCUUAUUGGAAGGGGUAUCCACAUACAUUUGGAAAUGUAGCAUAUCUGUAUCAUCUGACACUUACCUUUUCCAUGUGUGGUGGC